GACGAACGCUGGCGGCGUGCUUAACACAUGCAAGUCGAACGGAAAGGCCCUGCUUUUGUGGGGUGCUCGAGUGGCGAACGGGUGAGUAACACGUGAGUAACCUGCCCUUGACUUUGGGAUAACUUCAGGAAACUGGGGCUAAUACCGGAUAGAAGCUCCUGCUGCAUGGUGGGGGUUGGAAAGUUUCGGCGGUUGGGGAUGGACUCGCGGCUUAUCAGCUUGUUGGUGGGGUAGUGGCUUACCAAGGCUUUGACGGGUAGCCGGCCUGAGAGGGUGACCGGCCACAUUGGGACUGAGAUACGGCCCAGACUCCUACGGGAGGCAGCAGUGGGGAAUAUUGCACAAUGGGCGGAAGCCUGAUGCAGCAACGCCGCGUGCGGGAUGACGGCCUUCGGGUUGUAAACCGCUUUCGCCUGUGACGAAGCGUGAGUGACGGUAAUGGGGAAAGAAGCACCGGCUAACUACGU
This 467-nucleotide ribosomal RNA is filed under the name uncultured bacterium. RNAcentral's name for it is "partial 16S ribosomal RNA". It matches the Rfam family "Bacterial small subunit ribosomal RNA", at positions 28 to 506 of the family's 1533-position model. The record is from RNAcentral.